This 468-nucleotide ribosomal RNA is filed under the name uncultured bacterium. Its description in RNAcentral is "partial 16S ribosomal RNA". It matches the Rfam family "Bacterial small subunit ribosomal RNA", at positions 28 to 507 of the family's 1533-position model. The record is from RNAcentral.
GACGAACGCUGGCGGCGUGCCUAACACAUGCAAGUCGAACGGAAAGGCGCGGAGUUUGCGGGGUGCUCGAGUGGGGAACGGGGGAGUAAAACGCGAGGAAACUGCCCUUGAAUGAGGGAGAACAUCUGGAAACUGGGGAGCAAAUAGCGGAGGAGAUCUUGCUGCACGGGGGGGGUUGGAAAGAUUCGGCGGUUGUGGCUGGUCUCGAGGCUUAUGAGCUUGUUUGGGGGGUAGUGGCGUACCAAGGCUUUGAAGGGUAGCCGGCCUGAGAGGGUGGCCGGCCACCUGGGUCCUGCGGUACGGCCCAGACUCCUACCUGACGCAGCAGUGGGGAGUCUUGCACAACGGGCGCGAGUGUGAUGCAGCAAUCUCCCGUGCGUGAUGACGUCCUUCGAGUUGUGAACAGCUUUCGACUGUGCUGAGGCCUUAGUGACGGUACUGAGUCAGGAAGCACCGGCUAACUACGUG